This 373-nucleotide ribosomal RNA is filed under the name uncultured bacterium. Its description in RNAcentral is "bacterial SSU rRNA". It matches the Rfam family "Bacterial small subunit ribosomal RNA", at positions 28 to 400 of the family's 1533-position model. The record is from RNAcentral.
GACGAACGCUGGCGGCGUGCCUAAUGCAUGCAAGUCGAGCGCACCGGGCUUCGGUUCGGUGAGCGGCAGACGGGUGAGGAACACGUGGACAACCUGCCCCGGCCUGGGGGAUACCGCUCAGAAAUGGGCGCCAAUCCCGCGUACGCUCCUGGGGGGAGGGCCCUGGGAGGAAAGGCCCCGCGAGGGGUCGGGCGGGGAGGGGUCUGCGGCCCAUCAGCUAGACGGUGGGGUGACGGCCUACCGUGGCGAUGACGGGUCGCUGGUCUGAGAGGAUGGCCAGCCACACGGGGACUGCGGCACGGCCCCGACUCCUACGGGAGGCAGCAGCAAGGGAUUUUCCGCAAUGGGCGCAAGCCUGACGGAGCGACGCCGC